CCCCUGCCUGGUGCCGAUGAUGGAUGGAGAGCCUCCACCUGGUGUCGAUGGAACCAACGAUCCUGGUGCCUCGUUGCAUAUGUCUCAUUGUUUAUUAAUUUUUACUAUAUAUGAACGUGUGCACUUCAUAUAUGCCAUGCCCAGCCAAGGCACCGGCACCAGCCAAGGCACUGCCCAGCUAGGCGGCGACGGCAGGCAGCAAGUCAGUCACGGUAGCUGCCCAGCCAGCCAGCCCAGUGAAGA
This 243-nucleotide long non-coding RNA is filed under the name Sorghum bicolor (sorghum). Its description in RNAcentral is "long non-coding RNA (SBIC_LNC002401)". The record is from RNAcentral. Lineage: Eukaryota; Viridiplantae; Streptophyta; Magnoliopsida; Poales; Poaceae.